CUGAGCUCUCCAAAUAAGGAACCCUGUGGUUGCCAAGCAACCACAGAUUUUCUACAAGUGUCUGUGCCAUGUGUACUUAAACUGCAGUCGGCCUUUUUUUCCUUUAACUUUUCCAAGUUUAGAAAAAUGAAUAUAUGAAAUACAAGUAAAGCUAUGUGUGUUUUGAAGAAGGUACUGGGAACUCGGAAACCACCAAAAUAGCAGAAUCCCCUUCCAGAUGUUGUGUCCAGCUUUGACUUGAUUGUAACAAAAAGACCGUGGUGAAAGUUAUGCCGCAGGACUUCUGACACUACGUCAAAAAAGGCCAUGCAGUUUCUAACUGGUUCUCUUAACCAUAAUCCCUCUCAAAAUACUUCCUCCUGGAAUCCAGCUGAUAUGCCAUGAGAAGCCCAGACGGCAUGAAGAGGCCAUUAGUAUCAGCUGAGAACCUAAACGAACAGAAAACAAAAUAUAUUUUUCUUCCUCUACCAAAGUUCAUGAGCAAGAAAGGAUGUGAAAAAAGAAAAAUGGCUGGUCUGGAAGUAUAUCAGAGAGUGGAGAAAAUCUGGAGGUGUUAAG
Molecule: long non-coding RNA, 558 nt
Filed under: Callithrix jacchus (white-tufted-ear marmoset)
Lineage: Eukaryota; Metazoa; Chordata; Mammalia; Primates; Cebidae
Description: lncRNA (ENSCJAG00000072202.1)
Source: RNAcentral